UACGUAGGGGGCAAGCGUUGUCCGGAAUCAUUGGGCGUAAAGCGCGUGUAGGCGGCUUGGUAAGUCUGGCGUGAAAUCUUGGGGCUCAACCCCAAGCCUGCGCUGGAUACUGCCUCGCUCGAGUCCGGGAGAGGAAAGCGGAAUUCCCAGUGUAGCGGUGAAAUGCGCAGAUAUUGGGAAGAACACCGAUGGCGAAGGCAGCUUUCUGGAACGGUACUGACGCUGAGACGCGAAAGCGUGGGGAGCAAACAGG
Molecule: non-coding RNA, 253 nt
Filed under: uncultured bacterium
Lineage: Bacteria
Also listed under: 1 other name
Description: partial 16S ribosomal RNA
Rfam family: Bacterial small subunit ribosomal RNA
Source: RNAcentral